RNA transcript from Leucoraja erinaceus (little skate), 1567 nucleotides. It is a transcript of the gene named ubiquitin-conjugating enzyme E2F (putative), with no coding region annotated. The transcript has 11 exons. Lineage: Eukaryota; Metazoa; Chordata; Chondrichthyes; Rajiformes; Rajidae. The record is from RefSeq and is a predicted model, not a curated record.
AGCGGCCUGUCGUACGGCCGGAGCCAGGGAACGGGUUGGCAAAGGGGACGCUGGCUGGUCGUGUAUCCGCUGCCGCGGCUGGUGGCAGGCAGAGGGUCGCCGGCUCGGGCCGGAAUGGUGCAUGAGCGUCUGGUGCGUUCUGCGGCGGGGGGAAGACGAGGAGUCACUAUACUUCAGAAGUGCAUUAUUGGCUGUAAAGUGAUUUGGAACAUUGUGGGAAGUGCUACAUAAAGAUUUAAGGAAGUGUCUUAGCCAUGCUGACUUUAGCAAAAAAGCUGAAACGAGAAGAUGGUAUGAAAGGGAGAGGCAACACAAACACAGGGACUGAAUCAUCUCGACGUGUAUCCAUUAGAGAUAAGCUGCUCAUCAAAGAAGUUGCAGAACUUGAAGCAAACCUACCCAGUACAUGCAAACUGGACUUUCCUGAUGCAAACAAACUUCAUUCCUUCCAGCUGAAUGUCAUGCCAGAUGAAGGGUAUUACCAGGGUGGCAAGUUCCAGUUUGAAACGGAUGUUCCAGAAGCCUACAAUAUGGUGCCUCCCAAGGUAAAAUGUUUAACCAGAAUUUGGCACCCCAAUAUUACUGAGACUGGAGAAAUUUGUUUAAGCUUGCUGAGGGAACACUCGAUUGAUGGCACUGGGUGGGCACCAACAAGAACCUUAAAGGUAUUCUUCUCAUUGCGAACUACAGUUAUUUCCCCCUUCCUCACUGAAUUUCCAGCAGGAUGUGGUCUGGGGAUUGAAUUCUUUAUUUACUGAUCUCUUGAACUUUGAUGAUCCCCUGAAUAUCGAAGCUGCAGAGCAACACCUGCGUGACAAGGAGGACUUUCGGAGUAAAGUGCAGGAUUAUAUUAGACGCUUUGCAAGAUGAUCAUAUGAGCUGUCUGAUGGGACACUACUCCAAGCUGUGGAAGCCAAGUCUUCUGCCUUCUGAUGUUGAUCGUCAAUUAAACACUGGAUUGUGACGGUCCAAUAUCACUGUUGUUAUGAAGAGAAGCUGUUGGUGCUACUUUGAAUUCAGCGUCAGUACAGCAAGUGAUGGGCAACUUUGGGCUAAGAUUCAAGAAUAAUUACUCUUAUUGUGGCAAAAUAGUUGGGUUUUCUUCAAUUAUAAGGACUGUACAGAGCACCUGGAGUCUGUCUCUUUACUGAUUGAGUCACAAAAGACAUUUUUUCUAGUGUAAUAUGGUGUUGUUUGGAAACCACAAUAUCUUGCAACAAAAGGUCUUAAGACAUGUGUUUGAAGCAUUAACAGCAUGCGGCUUGCAAAUAUUAAACAACUGUGGAAAAUGCAGAGUAGCACUUGAGCCAGUGUCUCUGUCAUCGGGAGGGGGCAUUGUCUUAAAAUGGACGCAACUCUUGAUCCCACAGCUCCGCUUGGUCAAUUAAAGUAUGUCUGGUGAAGAUGUUAAUUGUUUGAGAAUUGUAAUUCCCUACCUAAAAUUCAGGUUUGUUUUGUGAUAUAUAUAGCGCACCUAUAAGUACAUCUCUUGCCAGAUGUGAAAAUGUUGUGUACUUGCAUGUAUGCAUAUAUAUUACCAAGUGUUUAUUAUAUAAUUUAUAUGUGA